RNAcentral lists this transfer-messenger RNA (394 nucleotides) under Psittacicellaceae. RNAcentral's name for it is "Psittacicella sp003585885 Standard tmRNA". It matches the Rfam family "transfer-messenger RNA". From Rfam's summary of the family: Bacterial tmRNA, also known as 10Sa RNA or SsrA, is named for its dual tRNA and mRNA-like properties. Its role is to liberate the mRNA from a stalled ribosome. The record is from RNAcentral. Lineage: Bacteria; Pseudomonadati; Pseudomonadota; Gammaproteobacteria; Pasteurellales.
GGGGCUGUUCUGGAUUCGACGGGAUUAUGGAAGUUUCAAGGGCAUGUAAAGUUGAAGAGCUUUUAAAAACUUCGAAUAAAUAUAAAUGCAGACAAUGCUUUCUUUGGCCGUUCAAAUAACAACGGCGUUGCUUUAGCAGCUUAAUAACCUGUGUAAAGCCAUCUUCUCCUUACUCCACUAGUAGGUCAUAGGGGAUAUACGAUGCUUAUAAUCUUAUAAACUAGUUAGUGUUUAAAUGCUGAUAGGACGUUUAAACAUGAAAUCUUAUUCUAUCUAGUUAGUUGGGCUUUCGUCUUAUUUACUGCCAGCUAAUGAAAUUACAAAUAAGAAUAAACAUGUAGAACUUGGGAUGGACUGAUUUCGGACAGGGGUUCAAAUCCCCUCAGCUCCACCA